This 253-nucleotide ribosomal RNA is filed under the name uncultured bacterium. Its description in RNAcentral is "partial 16S ribosomal RNA". It matches the Rfam family "Bacterial small subunit ribosomal RNA", at positions 524 to 776 of the family's 1533-position model. The record is from RNAcentral.
UACGUAGGGGGCAAGCGUUAUCCGGAUUUACUGGGUGUAAAGGGGGCGCAGACGGCGAUGCAAGCCAGGAGUGAAAGCCCGGGGCCCAACCCCGGGACUGCUCUUGGAACUGCGUGGCUGGAGUGCAGGAGGGGCAGGCGAAAUUCCUGGUGUAGCGGUGAAAUGCGUAGAUAUCAGGAGGAACACCGGUGGCGAAGGCGGCCUGCUGGACUGCAACUGACGUUGAGGCCCGAAAGCGUGGGGAGCAAACAGG